UACGUAGGUGGCAAGCGUUGUCCGGAAUUAUUGGGCGUAAAGCGCGCGCAGGCGGUUCUUUUAGUCUGGUGUGAAAGCCCACGGCUCAACCGUGGAGGGUCAUUGGAAACUGGGGAACUUGAGUACAGAAGAGGAAAGCGGAAUUCCACGUGUAGCGGUGAAAUGCGUAGAGAUGUGGAGGAACACCAGUGGCGAAGGCGGCUUUCUGGUCUGUAACUGACGCUGAGGCGCGAAAGCGUGGGGAGCAAACAGG
Molecule: ribosomal RNA, 253 nt
Filed under: uncultured bacterium
Lineage: Bacteria
Description: partial 16S ribosomal RNA
Rfam family: Bacterial small subunit ribosomal RNA
Source: RNAcentral